RNAcentral lists this ribosomal RNA (711 nucleotides) under uncultured Bacilli bacterium. RNAcentral describes it as "bacterial SSU rRNA". It matches the Rfam family "Bacterial small subunit ribosomal RNA", at positions 76 to 771 of the family's 1533-position model. The record is from RNAcentral. Lineage: Bacteria; Bacillati; Bacillota; Bacilli.
GUGCUUGCACUAGAAAAACUUAGCGGCGAACGGGUGAGUAACACGUAAAGAACCUGCCUCAUAGACGGGGACAACUAUUGGAAACGAUAGCUAAUACCGGAUAACAACAUAAAUCGCAUGAUAUAUGUUUAAAAGUUGGUUUCGGCUAACACUAUGAGAUGGCUUUGCGGUGCAUUAGCUAGUUGGUGGGGUAAAGGCCUACCAAGGCGACGAUGCAUAGCCGACCUGAGAGGGUGAUCGGCCACACUGGGACUGAGACACGGCCCAGACUCCUACGGGAGGCAGCAGUAGGGAAUCUUCCGCAAUGGGCGAAAGCCUGACGGAGCAACGCCGCGUGAGUGAAGAAGGAUUUCGGUUCGUAAAGCUCUGUUGUUAGGGAAGAAUGAUUGUGUAGUAACUAUACACAGUAGAGACGGUACCUAACCAGAAAGCCACGGCUAACUACGUGCCAGCAGCCGCGGUAAUACGUAGGUGGCAAGCGUUGUCCGGAAUUAUUGGGCGUAAAGCGCGCGCAGGUGGUUUAAUAAGUCUGAUGUGAAAGCCCACGGCUCAACCGUGGAGGGUCAUUGGAAACUGUUAAACUUGAGUGCAGGAGAGAAAAGUGGAAUUCCUAGUGUAGCGGUGAAAUGCGUAGAGAUUAGGAGGAACACCAGUGGCGAAGGCGGCUUUUUGGCCUGUAACUGACACUGAGGCGCGAAGCGUGGGGAGCAA